Molecule: long non-coding RNA, 1436 nt
Filed under: Bos taurus (domestic cattle)
Lineage: Eukaryota; Metazoa; Chordata; Mammalia; Artiodactyla; Bovidae
Description: long non-coding RNA NONBTAT006618
Source: RNAcentral
UUUCCUCAAGCGAGGCUGUCAGCAGGAAGGGGGCAGACGAGGGUAGUUCUCCUUCCCUGGAAUCUUCCAGAAGUCUGAGGGGGUUUGAAGGAGUGAAAUGAUGUGGAUGAUGUCUUCCUUGGAAGCAUCAAUAGAGGAGCUAGUCCCCCAGACGCUUCCCAGCGGCCGAGUCCACCACCGCAGGUGAGUGUCUCCUGGCUGCAGGAACCGACCCUUCUUUCUCCCCCGCCUCAUUUAACUAACUCCAGAUGAAGAUGCUCACAGCGUUCAACCCUUCUAGAGUCUGUCUGGUUAACGAGUCUUUCUAGAAUUGACUAGAAAACCAUACAGACAGAAAUUCAGUAUGAAAAUCAGUAUGCCGUGAGCUCCAGGGAUAACAGAAGCUUUUCUGGGUGAGGGUGCAGGAGAAUGCCACCCCAGCAAGACCAACUGUGCCGAAAAGCAGCAGCUGUAAUUCAAUGGCAGUGUUCGGGGAAAACAAAAAGAAUGCAUUGAGACUCGAGGAAAAUUCCACUCGCAUGCAUCAUUCAAUGAGCGGGGGAAAAAGGGAUGACUGUAAGGUCAGUCAAGUCAAUUAGUUUUUUUCAGUUAGUCCCAAAGACUUGGGGUGGACCACCAAUCAUUUUAAUUGUGAAGUUCAAACGUAUAAAAUAUACUCAUAAAAUUUUAAAGGAAUGCCUUUCUAAGAUAUAUUUCAAGUUUAUCAGAAUUUCACAGCUUCACCAACAGAAUUUUUACUUCCUCUCUUUGUGACUGAGUUGAAGAAUUGAAUAAAAUCAUGAAAAUAAAAUGUUACAAAGGAAUACAAAGUGUUACAAAGGAAUACAAAUUGUACACCAGGAAUAAAUCUACUUUCAAAGAUCAGAUGGAUGUUUAUUUUGAUCAUUGAUUUGAAACCUCUGAGAUGAAAAUGCAUUUUUGUCCUGUGGUGUAAGAAAAGAUUUUGAAAUCGUGUUCAGUUCUCUCAUCACAGGUUGUCACAAAGUACUUCAUUAUCACCAGUGCUGACGGAUCAGACCUGGCAAGUUCACGUCACAGGAGGUUUGGAAUAGGCUGAAAGUUUGUCAGGAUUUCUCCCCCAGUUUAAGGCUGAGUCCCUGGGGAGAACCGCCUCGAAGCAAGGGAUGCCUCUGGCCCUGUGUGUUCCUGGGCCUUUCUCCAGGUUUCCAUACGGACUGUGGUGCGGUGCUUGAGGAAAUCAAGCACGUUAAACAUGCAGCAUGUUGAGCCCCAUCCUGGAAAAGCAGUGCUUCCUGGGGACCUGCUGUGAGCCACGAGACACCUUUCUCUUAUUUAAUUUCUUCAAGAUUGCAUUUAUUUUUCCAAGUGGGCAAUACGUGUCUAUCACCAUAGUUUUGUGGUGAAGAUCAUGCAUGAAAGUUUAUUUCAGGAAGCUUUGAAAGCACAAUGACUAUCCCUUAAAAAUUCUUCUUCUU